GGUUAACUGUCUCCUUUCUCCAAUCAGUGAAACUGAUCUUCCCGUGAAGAAGCAGGAAUUAAUUUAUAAGACGAGAAGACCCCAUGGAGCUUUAAACCCAAUUACAUCCUUAUAUUUAAAAUCUUCAUAGCUUUUAAGGUGUUGUAUAUUCGGUUUUAGGUUGGGGUGACCGCGGAGCAUAAAUAAGCCUCCACGAUGAANGGGAAUAUUUCCCGUAUCUAANAACUAC
RNAcentral lists this ribosomal RNA (229 nucleotides) under Blommersia blommersae (Ambrana Madagascar frog). RNAcentral's name for it is "partial 16S ribosomal RNA". Lineage: Eukaryota; Metazoa; Chordata; Amphibia; Anura; Mantellidae. The record is from RNAcentral.